UACGUAGGGGGCAAGCGUUGUCCGGAAUCAUUGGGCGUAAAGCGCGCGUAGGCGGCCCGGUAAGUCCGUUGUGAAAGUCAAAGGCUCAACCUUUGAACGCCGAUGGAUACUGCCGGGCUAGAGUCCGGAAGAGGCGAGUGGAAUUCCUGGUGUAGCGGUGGAAUGCGCAGAUAUCAGGAGGAACACCAAUAGCGAAGGCAGCUCGCUGGGACGUUACUGACGCUGAGACGCGAAAGCGUGGGGAGCAAACAGG
This 253-nucleotide ribosomal RNA is filed under the name uncultured bacterium. Its description in RNAcentral is "partial 16S ribosomal RNA". It matches the Rfam family "Bacterial small subunit ribosomal RNA", at positions 524 to 776 of the family's 1533-position model. The record is from RNAcentral.